Non-coding RNA from Plectropomus leopardus (leopard coralgrouper), 518 nucleotides. Lineage: Eukaryota; Metazoa; Chordata; Actinopteri; Perciformes; Serranidae. The record is from RefSeq and is a predicted model, not a curated record.
GCGGCGGGCAGCGUGCAGCGGUGAUGUCAACAACAUCGAAACAAAUGAACCAUGAUCACCACCGAGGCUGCGAGAGAGCUGCAGGCCAAAGAGCGCAGAUACAAAGAGCAGCUGAAGAGAUGUUUAUCCUCUGCCUUAUCUGCAGACCUUAACAGCGAAGACAAACCAGAAGAGACCAGCACGUUUGACGAAGUGGGGAGGCUGAGGGAGUGAGAGGAGCGGCUGGUUUGUCAGAUUUCCUAAAUGAGUUUUGAAUCGGACCAUAAAUACUGACACAGUGUCUGUUCCCCUGACAAUGACAGGAAGCUUGUUCAGAAGGGAGGAGGUCAUAGAGGAAAAGGCUCUGCCCCCCGAUGUUUCAAAUGUGAGGAGGAACAACAGCUAUUUGUUUUUGGAUGAAUAAAUAUAAACUCCUCAAACAAGUGAGGAAAGUUUUCACAUUUUGCUACUCAGUGCUACACUUUAUUGUUCAAGGAUAUACUUGUACUCAAGUAUUUCAACUUUAUGUGACUUCAUUC